UACGUAGGGGGCGAGCGUUAUCCGGAUUUACUGGGCGUAAAGCGCGUUAAGGCGGUUGGCAAAGUUGGUUGUGAAAUCUCAGGGCUCAACCCUGAAAUUGCGACCAAUACUGGUCGACUAGAGUGCAAGAGAGGAAGGUGGAAUUCCCGGUGUAGUAGUGAAAUGCGUAGAUAUCGGGAGGAACACCAGUGGCGAAAGCGGCCUUCUGGCUUGCAACUGACGCUGUAGCGCGAAAGCGUGGGGAGCGAACCGG
This 253-nucleotide ribosomal RNA is filed under the name uncultured bacterium. RNAcentral's name for it is "partial 16S ribosomal RNA". It matches the Rfam family "Bacterial small subunit ribosomal RNA", at positions 524 to 776 of the family's 1533-position model. The record is from RNAcentral.